Molecule: long non-coding RNA, 1576 nt
Filed under: Capra hircus (goat)
Lineage: Eukaryota; Metazoa; Chordata; Mammalia; Artiodactyla; Bovidae
Description: lncRNA (ENSCHIG00010007475.1)
Source: RNAcentral
ACAGGCAAAUUUAAAUAUUCUGCAGCAGAUGAUACUACCUUAAAACCAAACAAGUACGAUAAAUGUUGGGAUGUGGUACAGAACAGUCACAAGACAAUUCCUUAUUUUUGUUCCCUUGUUUUUUUCUUUUGUUUUACAAGAGAAUUCUUUUUGAAGGUUGUUUUUUUGGUUUUAAAACUUAUAUACUACAUAUGCCUGGGGAAAGUUAGAACAAUAUCCAUCACAACUUUAACAAUAACUUUCUCAGGAUGGCAGUAUUAUUAUUUUUUCUUUCUUUUUUUUUUACUACCUUUGGUUUUUCUUCAAAAUCUACAAUAUGUAUAUAUUAUUAGUUUACUAGAGUUUGGUUUUAAAAACAAUAUAUGAUCCAAUCAGGGCAGCAGCUGUGCCAUACUGGUGUCUCUAUCCCCAAUAUUUAACACAGUAANNNNNNNNNNNNNNNNNNNNNNCAGCUGUGCCAUACUGGUGUCUCUAUCCCCAAUAUUUAACACAGUAAGUGGCACAGAGUAGGUGCUCAGUAAAAGUGAACUGAAUGUCCUUUGGUUAUAGAUCCUGCCUCCUGGACAGUCACCCUCUAAAGGGAUUUCAGGACAAUGUGAGUCCCCAGAACUCAAGGAUAUGAAAUGACAGCAGGCAAUUUUCACAGGAAAGAGGCCUCUAAGUAUAGGAAAUCAUUUCAAUGCUGCAUUCUCAGGAAUCGGUAACCACUCUUCUCUUUGAAACUAAGCAUUUUGAGUGAUUUACUACAAAUAUACAAUGACAGUUGUGAACACCAGUUGGCUUUUCUUUUCUUUUUUUUUUUUUNNNNNNNNNAGUCUGUUGAUUGCCUUGCUGCUCAAAAUAAAAUAAAAAGGGGAAAUAAAAGCUAACCCUUGCCGUGGCAGGUAAAAUAAUGGCCCCCCCAAAGACAGCCACAUCUUAACCCCUGGAACCUGUGACCUUAUGCAAAAGGAAUUAAGAUUACAGAUGGAAUUAAGAUUUUAACUAGCCAACCUUAAAGUGGAGAGAUGAUCCUGGAUUAUCCUGGUGGGCCUAAUUUAAUAAUAAAGGUCGUAUUAUAAGAGGGAAAGGGAGGCAGGAGAAAGUGAGACUGAGAGAUGUUAAUAUGCCCAACCUUGCUGGCUGUGGAAAUACAGGAAUAAGGCUAAGAACCAAGGAUGCAGGCCAGCUCUAAACUGAAAAAGACCAGGGAACAGAUUCUCCCCUAGGGCCUCAGAAAGAAACUCAGCCACACCUUAUAUUGAUUUUGGCCUAGAGGGACUGGAAGAUUAAAAAUGUGCUCUUUAAGCCACUAAAUUAACACAUCCACCAAAAAAAGCCAAAAUUCUGGUAAUAAAUGUGCACUAAAAAAGUCUUGAAUUGAAUGAAAGCAACCAGUUAAAACUUCUUGGUGAAACUUUUUAAAAGAAUGAUCACUUCUUUUAGGGGAAAACUCUCCCUAAGAAAUCCUACCCAACCUUCAGUCAGUAAGUUCAGUCACUCAGUCGUGUCCGACUCUUUGCAACUCCAAGGACUGCAGCACACCGGGCCUCCUUGUCCAUCACCAACUCCCAGAGUUUACUCAAACUCAUGUUCA